RNAcentral lists this ribosomal RNA (460 nucleotides) under uncultured bacterium. RNAcentral's name for it is "partial 16S ribosomal RNA". It matches the Rfam family "Bacterial small subunit ribosomal RNA", at positions 338 to 795 of the family's 1533-position model. The record is from RNAcentral.
CCUACGGGAGGCAGCAGUGAGGAAUAUUGGUCAAUGGGAGGAAUCCUGAACCAGCCAUGCCGCGUGCAGGACGACGGCUCUACGAGUUGUAAACUGCUUUUGUACCGGGGUAAAAUGCUCUACGAGUAGGGUUUUGAAAGUACGGUUAGAAUAAGGAUCGGCUAACUCCGUGCCAGCAGCCGCGGUAAUACGGAGGGUCCGAGCGUUAUCCGGAUUCAGUGGGUUUAAAGGGUGCGUAGGUUGUUUUAUAAGUUAGCGGUGAAAGACCGAUGCUCAACAUCGGGGCUGCCGCUGAUACUGUAGGACUAGAGAUAGGGUGCAGCAGGCGGAAUGUGUAGUGUAGCGGUGAAAUGCAUAGAUAUUACACAGAACACCGAUUGCGAAGGCAGCUUGCUAGGCCGGAUCUGACACUGAUGCACGAAAGCGUGGGGAUCGAACAGGAUUAGAUACCCGAGUAGUC